UAAGCCAUGCAUGUCUAAGUACAAACUAUAUUAAAGUGAAACCGCGAAAGGCUCAUUAAAUCAGUUAUGGUUCCUUAGAUCGUACCACAAUUACUUGGAUAACUGUGGUAAUUCUAGAGCUAAUACAUGCAAACAGAGCUCUGACCGGAGACGGAAGGAGUGCUUUUAUUAGAUCAAAACCAAUCGGCGGCGGUAACGUUUCGGCGUUAUCGUUCGUCGCACAAUAAAUGGUGAAUCUGAAUAACUUUAUGCUGAUCGCAUGGUCUUGUACCGGCGACGUAUCUUUCAAAUGUCUGCCUUAUCAACUGUCGAUGGUAGGAUCUGUGCCUACCAUGGUUGUAACGGGUAACGGGGAAUCAGGGUUCGAUUCCGGAGAGGGAGCCUGAGAAACGGCUACCACAUCCAAGGAAGGCAGCAGGCGCGCAAAUUACCCAUUCCCGGCACGGGGAGGUAGUGACGAAAAAUAACGAUACGGGACUCAUCCGAGGCCCCGUAAUCGGAAUGAGUACACUUUAAAUCCUUUAACGAGGACCAAUUGGAGGGCAAGUCUGGUGCCAGCAGCCGCGGUAAUUCCAGCUCCAAUAGCGUAUAUUAAAGUUGUUGCGGUUAAAAAGCUCGUAGUUGAAUUUGUGUUCCGCACUGUCGGUUCACCGCCCGCCGGUGCAAACUGACAUGUUUGCGGAACGUCCUGCCGGUGGAUGUUCAGUAUAUUAUAUAUUACUGCACGCUUUUUCACAAAAGUGUAACGUAUGUAUUAUAUACACAUCCGACUUUAUAAAUCCUGUCGCGGUGCUCUUAACUGAGUGUCGAGGCGGGCCGGCACGUUUACUUUGAACAAAUUAAAGUGCUCAAAGCAGGCUUAUUAAUGCCUGAAUAAUUAGUGCAUGGAAAUAAUGAAACAGGACCUUGGUUCUAUUUUGUUGGUUUUUGGAACCCCAAGGUAAUGAUUAAUAGGGACAGAUGGGGGCAUUCGUAUUGCGACGUUAGAGGUGAAAUUCUUGG
RNAcentral lists this ribosomal RNA (1002 nucleotides) under Pterostichus sp. JHY-2013. RNAcentral's name for it is "SSU rRNA". It matches the Rfam family "Eukaryotic small subunit ribosomal RNA", at positions 45 to 923 of the family's 1831-position model. The record is from RNAcentral. Lineage: Eukaryota; Metazoa; Arthropoda; Insecta; Coleoptera; Carabidae.